This 431-nucleotide ribosomal RNA is filed under the name uncultured bacterium. Its description in RNAcentral is "partial 16S ribosomal RNA". It matches the Rfam family "Bacterial small subunit ribosomal RNA", at positions 29 to 507 of the family's 1533-position model. The record is from RNAcentral.
AACGGACGCUGGCGGCAGGCCUAACACAUGCAAGUCGAGCGCCCCGCAAGGGGAGCGGCGGACGGGUGAGUAACGCGUGGGAAUAUGCCCUUUGCUACGGAAUAGUCUCGGGAAACUGGGGGUAAUACCGUAUACGCCCUUUGGGGGAAAGAUUUAUCGGCGAAGGAUUAGCCCGCGUUGGAUUAGGUAGUUGGUGGGGUAAUGGCCUACCAAGCCGACGAUCCAUAGCUGGUUUGAGAGGAUGAUCAGCCACACUGGGACUGAGACACGGCCCAGACUCCUACGGGAGGCAGCAGUGGGGAAUCUUAGACAAUGGGGGCAACCCUGAUCUAGCCAUGCCGCGUGAGUGAUGAAGGCCUUAGGGUUGUAAAGCUCUUUCAGCUGGGAAGAUAAUGACGGUACCAGCAGAAGAAGCCCCGGCUAACUCCGUG